Molecule: ribosomal RNA, 648 nt
Filed under: uncultured bacterium
Lineage: Bacteria
Description: bacterial SSU rRNA
Rfam family: Bacterial small subunit ribosomal RNA
Source: RNAcentral
ACAACAGUUGGAAACGACUGCUAAUACCGCAUAAGCCCACAGCUCGGCAUCGAGCAGAGGGAAAAGGAGCAAUCCGCUUUGAGAUGGCCUCGCGUCCGAUUAGCUAGUUGGUGAGGUAAUGGCCCACCAAGGCGACGAUCGGUAGCCGGACUGAGAGGUUGAACGGCCACGUUGGGACUGAGACACGGCCCAGACUCCUACGGGAGGCAGCAGUGGGGAAUAUUGCACAAUGGGGGAAACCCUGAUGCAGCGACGCCGCGUGGAGGAAGAAGGUCUUCGGAUUGUAAACUCCUGUUGUUGAGGAAGAUAAUGACGGUACUCAACAAGGAAGUGACGGCUAACUACGUGCCAGCAGCCGCGGUAAAACGUAGGUCAUAAGCGUUGUCCGGAAUUACUGGGUGUAAAGGGAGCGCAGGCGGGAAGACAAGUUGGAAGUGAAAUCCAUGGGCUCAACCCAUGAACUGCUUUCAAAACUGUUUUUCUUGAGUAGUGCAGAGGCAGGCGGAAUUCCCGGUGUAGCGGUGGAAUGCGUAGAUAUCGGGAGGAACACCAGUGGCGAAGGCGGCCUACUGGGCACCAACUGACGCUGAGGCUCGAAAGUGUGGGUAGCAAACAGGAUUAGAUACCCUGGUAGUCCACACUGUAAAC